This 397-nucleotide ribosomal RNA is filed under the name uncultured bacterium. RNAcentral describes it as "partial 16S ribosomal RNA". It matches the Rfam family "Bacterial small subunit ribosomal RNA", at positions 523 to 918 of the family's 1533-position model. The record is from RNAcentral.
AUACGUAGGGGGUGAGCGUUGUCCGGAAUGAUUGGGCGUAAAGGGCGCGUAGGCGGCCGCUUAAGUCUGGAGUGAAAGUCCUGUUUUCAAGAUGGGAAUUGCUUUGGAUACUGAUGGGCUUGAGUGCAGGAGAGGUUAUCGGAAUUCCCGGUGUAGCGGUGAAAUGCGUAGAGAUCGGGAGGAACACCAGUGGCGAAGGCGGGUAACUGGACUGCAACUGACGCUGAGGCGCGAAAGUGUGGGGAGCAAACAGGAUUAGAUACCCUGGUAGUCCACACUGUAAACGAUGAAUGCUAGGUGUAAGAGGUAUCGACCCCUUUUGUGCCGGAGUUAACACAAUAAGCAUUCCGCCUGGGGAGUACGGCCGCAAGGUUGAAACUCAAAUGAAUUGACGGGG